This 219-nucleotide ribosomal RNA is filed under the name uncultured bacterium. RNAcentral describes it as "partial 16S ribosomal RNA". It matches the Rfam family "Bacterial small subunit ribosomal RNA", at positions 1284 to 1500 of the family's 1533-position model. The record is from RNAcentral.
AGUCUCAGUUCGGAUCGCAGGCUGCAACUCGCCUGCGCGAAGUUGGAAUUGCUAGUAAUCGCGGAUCAGCAUGCCGCGGUGAAUACGUUCCCGGGCCUUGUACACACCGCCCGUCACACCAUGGGAGUUGGGGGCGCCCGAAGCCACUUAGCUAACCCUUUUGGGAAGCGAGUGUCGAAGGUGAAAUCAAUAACUGGGGUGAAGUCGUAACAAGGUAGC